AUCUGGAUAGCUUAAUAAGAGUAUGACAUUGAAGAUGUUAGGGUAACAAUUUGUUUCUAGAUA
This 63-nucleotide transfer RNA is filed under the name Nipponnemertes punctatula. RNAcentral describes it as "tRNA-Phe". The record is from RNAcentral. Lineage: Eukaryota; Metazoa; Nemertea; Enopla; Monostilifera; Cratenemertidae.